AUGCAGUCGAGCGGACAGAUGGGAGCUUGCUCCCUGAUGUUAGCGGCGGACGGGUGAGUAACACGUGGGUAACCUGCCUGUAAGACUGGGAUAACUCCGGGAAACCGGGGCUAAUACCGGAUGCUUGAUUGAACCGCAUGGUUCAAUUAUAAAAGGUGGCUUUUAGCUACCACUUACAGAUGGACCCGCGGCGCAUUAGCUAGUUGGUGAGGUAACGGCUCACCAAGGCGACGAUGCGUAGCCGACCUGAGAGGGUGAUCGGCCACACUGGGACUGAGACACGGCCCAGACUCCUACGGGAGGCAGCAGUAGGGAAUCUUCCGCAAUGGACGAAAGUCUGACGGAGCAACGCCGCGUGAGUGAUGAAGGUUUUCGGAUCGUAAAACUCUGUUGUUAGGGAAGAACAAGUACCGUUCGAAUAGGGCGGUACCUUGACGGUACCUAACCAGAAAGCCACGGCUAACUACGUGCCAGCAGCCGCGGUAAUACGUAGGUGGCAAGCGUUGUCCGGAAUUAUUGGGCGUAAAGCGCGCGCAGGCGGUUUCUUAAGUCUGAUGUGAAAGCCCCCGGCUCAACCGGGGAGGGUCAUUGGAAACUGGGGAACUUGAGUGCAGAAGAGGAGAGUGGAAUUCCACGUGUAGCGGUGAAAUGCGUAGAGAUGUGGAGGAACACCAGUGGCGAAGGCGACUCUCUGGUCUGUAACUGACGCUGAGGCGCGAAAGCGUGGGGAGC
RNAcentral lists this ribosomal RNA (732 nucleotides) under Bacillus licheniformis. RNAcentral's name for it is "bacterial SSU rRNA". It matches the Rfam family "Bacterial small subunit ribosomal RNA", at positions 55 to 769 of the family's 1533-position model. Lineage: Bacteria; Bacillati; Bacillota; Bacilli; Caryophanales; Bacillaceae. The record is from RNAcentral.